GUCCUUUUGGGACUUACCACAAGCUGUGUUCUUUACAUGACUGUACAGAAAGAGGAAGCACAGUAAGCCUACCCAUACCACCUCAGCUCAGACCCUUUGCUUGGUCUACUAUGAAUGGGUGUACAGGG
Suncus etruscus (white-toothed pygmy shrew) is the source of this 128-nucleotide small nucleolar RNA. RefSeq annotates it as small nucleolar RNA SNORA51. NCBI's taxonomy places the organism in Eukaryota, Metazoa, Chordata, Mammalia, Eulipotyphla, Soricidae. The record is from RefSeq and is a predicted model, not a curated record. The transcript has a single exon.